Molecule: ribosomal RNA, 490 nt
Filed under: uncultured bacterium
Lineage: Bacteria
Description: partial 16S ribosomal RNA
Rfam family: Bacterial small subunit ribosomal RNA
Source: RNAcentral
AUUGAACGCUGGCGGCAGGCUUAACACAUGCAAGUCGAGCGGUAGCACAGGGGAGCUUGCUCCCUGGGUGACGAGCGGCGGACGGGUGAGUAAUGUCUGGGAAACUGCCUGAUGGAGGGGGAUAACUACUGGAAACGGUAGCUAAUACCGCAUAACGUCGCAAGACCAAAGAGGGGGACCUUCGGGCCUCUUGCCAUCAGAUGUGCCCAGAUGGGAUUAGCUAGUAGGUGGGGUAAUGGCUCACCUAGGCGACGAUCCCUAGCUGGUCUGAGAGGAUGUCCAGCCACACUGGAACUGAGACACGGUCCAGACUCCUACGGGAGGCAGCAGUGGGGAAUAUUGCACAAUGGGCGCAAGCCUGAUGCAGCCAUGCCGCGUGUGUGAAGAAGGCCUUCGGGUUGUAAAGCACUUUCAGCGAGGAGGAAGGUGGUGAGCUUAAUACGUUCAUCAAUUGACGUUACUCGCAGAAGAAGCACCGGCUAACUCCGUG